AUUUAAAUAGCUUAAAUUAAAGCAUGAUAUUGAAGAUAUCAAAAUGAUUAAUUAAUCUUUAAAUA
This 65-nucleotide transfer RNA is filed under the name Rybaxis sp. 1 EF-2015. RNAcentral's name for it is "tRNA-Phe". Lineage: Eukaryota; Metazoa; Arthropoda; Insecta; Coleoptera; Staphylinidae. The record is from RNAcentral.